CAAUCACUUCCGGAUUUGUGGCAUUUGGGAGCCAAAACAUCCGAGUUCCAGCGUUCGGGAUCCAAGGUAUGACUGUACAGUGUAGUGGUUAGCAUGGCAGACUAGGAGUGUGUGACCCAGGUUCAAAUUUCCACUCCAACCUGAGCCAGCUUAGCCUAGCAGUUCCUUAGAUCUUGUCAAGACCUACCAAUCGUCUACGGGUGGUUCAAUACCCUGCGGGUGCUAUCUGCUUACCUAAAAAUUAUAUAUUUAUAAAUUCCCACUCGAAAAUGAAGCUCACUGGGUGACUUUGGGCUAUCCUCUCUCUCUCUCUCUCUCUCUCUCUCUCUCUCUCUCUCGCUCAUCCUAGUCUGAAUUCAUGUGGUAGUGGUUGUAUCAAAAUAGUCAAUGGAGAACUAUGCAUGCAGGCCUUGAUAUCUUAGAAGAAAGGUGAGAUAUAAAUCUAAUGUACGUUUCCGAGCACAAUUCAAAGUGUUGGUGAUGACCUUUAAAGCCCUAAACGGCCUCGGCCCAGUAUACCUGAAGAAGCAUUUCCACCCCCAAUGUUCUGCCCGGACACUGAGGUCCAGCUCCAAGGGCCUUCUGGCGGUUCCCUCACUGCAGGAGGCAAAGUUACAGGGAACCAGGCAGAGGGCCUUCUCGGUAGUGGUGCCUGCCCUGUGGAACACCCUCCCAUCAGAUGUCAAAGAAAUAAACAACUACCUGACAUUUAGAAGACAUCUGAAGGCAGCCCUGUUUAGGGAAGUUUUUAAUGACUGAUGUUUUAAUGUAUUUUUAAUCUUUUGUUGGAAGCUGCCCAGAGUGGCUGGUGAAACCCAGCCAGAUGGGCGGGGUAUAAGUAAUAGAUUAUUAUUAUUAUUAUUAUUAUUAUUAUUAUUAUUAAAAAUAUAGUGUGUUGGAUUGUUGGAGCCACAAAGAUAGUUGAACUUCCUUCCCACUGAAAGCAAUGAAACACUUUAGACAUCCCAUUUAUUUCAGCGAGACCUGAGCGCAACUCACAUAGUCUAGAUCCAAGCCAAUUUCAAUAACACUGAAUUUUGAAAACUCAUUGUCAUUGACCUCGCUCACAAGAAUUGGGACCGCCGUAACUGUUGAUUGAUGUGGCUGUCUAAAUAUAUACACUUCUUCUAUUAAGCAAUUUGGAACUUUGCUCUGACUUAAAUAACUUUCCCGCAGAAGGAAUGGGCAGAGUUGAGAGGAGGCUGAUCUGAAGUCAAUAAUGGUUUGAUUCUGUCCCGCGGGGAUCUACAACUGUGCCACUAACAAGAGAAGAUUUUUAUAUGCUGCCUUUGCCAAUCUCUUCUCAUCCUUUGACCUUAUCAGCAGAAGAUCAGCUUUGGUACAAGCUAUUUCAAAUUAAUAUUAAUAGAUGUCUGCAGCUAUUGAUCCAGGCCCUUUAGUUUGAUACAAUUCUCAAAGCAUGAAUGGACCACUAUGGGCAAUUUGGAGGCAACUGUCCUAUGUGUGUUCAUUUUCUUUACUAUUUGAGUGGUAGUCAGUUAUUCCUUGUCUUAUUGACUUAAAGACCAGGAGGGAGGAAAGGCACCUAUGUUUUUAAUGAAAAUACCAUUUGGUUCCACCGACUAUUAAAAAUCAGAUUCAUGAUGAAUUCCAAAGAGUUUCCAGUGACUUCCCAAGUUUUAUCAGGGGCUAUUAAAUAACAGCAAAUGCCUUUAGUCUAAAUAUAUUUUGUUACCAGGGGGGCAUUAUAUAAUGGUGUAAUAGUGCUGGGCUGGACUUUCAAAAUGCUAAAAAUCUGUCCAAUUGGGGAGGAGGGUUGAAUGAAACAAGUGUCAAUAAUUUGUGGGGGGUGUCUACACCAGUGGCGUGCCUAGAAAAAUCGUAUUUCCCCCCUACUACUCUCCACCAAUUAAUGAGAAAAUAAAUUGCAUUAGGAAAUGGUCAAAUGAGGAAGAGAAAAAUUGACAAUCUUCAAAUCUUCUCUGGAGAACUGGGGGGAAACCCUGAACAGAUUUUUCUGUUUUUGAUUAAAACAGAAUAAAUCCUGCUGUUAUGCGUUAAUUGACAUAUUUGGGGGUUUCUCUUAUUUGAGCUUCCAAGUUGGGACAGGGGAAACAAAGCAUGAACAGAAUUAACAUAUAAUUGGCUAUUAAAUAAAAAUGUGUGUGCAUGGUGUGCGUGGUUGUUGUUUUUUAAAGAAACAUUUAUUUGAAAGUAUUCUCAGCAGAAGCCUUCCUCCGUACUGCUUGUGUUCUCAGAUGCUGCAGACAUGAUGAGACAACCUGAUGCUGAGAUUCUGUGGCUCAACGCUGCACUCUUUGCAGGAGCAGCUGCUACAGCCUAUAAAAGUG
Molecule: non-coding RNA, 2312 nt
Organism: Podarcis lilfordi (Lilford's wall lizard)
Lineage: Eukaryota; Metazoa; Chordata; Lepidosauria; Squamata; Lacertidae
Source: the annotation of a GenBank genome assembly